Rhineura floridana is the source of this 1607-nucleotide long non-coding RNA. RefSeq lists it as uncharacterized. The record is from RefSeq and is a predicted model, not a curated record. NCBI's taxonomy places the organism in Eukaryota, Metazoa, Chordata, Lepidosauria, Squamata, Rhineuridae. The transcript has 4 exons.
AAUGUAUACUGGGGUAGAGAUGGGGAGGAGCACGGUGGCAAGCACAGCAUAGAGACAGGAGCACCAGAUUAGACCACUAUCAAAACUGUCUUGGAUCUUCAGCUGUACAGAAGCUGCCUUGAAAUGUAGGCCUGUCCAUUCAUUUCCUCUUCCUCACACUCCCCCACCAUCACAGCCGGUUGCUGCAAGGACCUUGAGGACAUCUUCUCUGGCUACCUCUCACCCAAAAGAGCUUUGGGUCAUAUCCGAAAUGUUGGCAAGUGCUGAACUGAAGCAGGCUAGGUUGUACAACAACCACAAAGGGCUUAUGAUCCUAUAUUCAUCAUCUAUCUUUCAAUUAAUGCAUUUUGGAUCCAGAAAGACAAGAGUUCCAUUUUGUUAGCAGCUUUGGGAGGACCGUUGGUUUUGAAAAACCUCAUAUGUUUGUGGUGGGAUUUACCACACUUUCCUACCCCUAAAGAUGCACACAGGUUCAUGGAAUGCACCAGCUCAUGCUUCAAAGGUGACUCACAAGGCCAGCAAUUCAUCACUGGUUUCUUUGCAGCCCUAUUUUUGGUCUGCCUUCAAAACACAGCCUCACUGAAGAAUCCCAGGGUGUUCUCGCUGAGAGCAAGGAGAACGUGCAAGGAUUGCCCUGAAAAGGAGUGAAUAUGCUCAUUAAAAGCUAUGUCUGAAAAGGGAUGAAGACAACUUGGUGGUUUGUGCCGUCUCUUUACUGUAUCCUCAGGCAGCACCAAUGCACCUGGGAAUGAUGAACAUUGGAUCACCGGGGAUGGGAGAGAGGGUGAAUGGGAGACAGCUGAAGGAAUUGUGGGUUAUGCUGCUAACACACUUGAAGCAGCCCUCCCAAGUUUCAUUAGUCACAACCAACUGAUAUUUUGCAGACAGAUUCUGUACUGUCUGACAACAAAAUUGCAUUUGUGAACACUGGUUAAUUAAUCAAAUUAAUGUUAAUCUGACUAUUUGCACAUUAAAAAAAAAAGACUAGAGGCUUCCCUCUCCCCCUUAUUGUAGGAUUGCCAUGCUGCAGUCAACUGGAAAGAAUAUCAGCAUAUAAUACUUUUCCUUGCUUUUUUCACCCAAUAGGGUGACUAGAUGCAAAGUAGGGCAGGGCUUCAGUAUAUUUAAGAGGAGAGGGGAUUUCACUGCAGGUAGUCUGUCAUACUGGGAUGAUGCAGAAGUAUUUAUUUUGUUAAAAAAAACGUUUGAAAAUUGUGCCUGCUCAACUGAGAUGCUCUUUUCUUUACAAUGUUUGUGCUUCCUUAAAGGAUGAGACGUGUUCUUUUUUGCAUCUCAUCACCCUCUUGCUUACCUUUUAACUUUUUCUUAGUAUUGGUUUGAGCAAUGCAAAAAAAGGAUCACACCAUCAAAAUGUCAUAAAUACCAAAACCAAGGAUCUUUCUCAUAUGGAAUGAGAAAACGGAAUGCCGAUAUGAAUGCUGAUAUUGUUAGAUCAAUACACUACUGUAUCCCUUUAUUUCCCCAGAAAAUGGCAAUCCCUGUAACUAGACCCCACUUGCAACCUCAGAUGUCAUCCUGGACAAACAGUCCAGGAUAAAAAGCCCUUAGAUAUCUUAACUGAGAAAUUCUACAUGUGGUUUAUUAUU